This 253-nucleotide ribosomal RNA is filed under the name uncultured bacterium. RNAcentral describes it as "partial 16S ribosomal RNA". It matches the Rfam family "Bacterial small subunit ribosomal RNA", at positions 524 to 776 of the family's 1533-position model. The record is from RNAcentral.
UACGGAGGGUGCAAGCGUUGCUCGGAAUUAUUGGGCGUAAAGCGUAUGUAGGCGGUUUCCUAAGUCUGAUGUGAAAUCCCGGGGCUUAACUCCGGAACUGCAUUGGAUACUGGGAGGCUAGAGGACAGUAGAGGAUGGUGGAAUUCCUGGUGUAGGGGUGAAAUCCGUAGAUAUCAGGAGGAACAUCAGUGGCGAAGGCGGCCAUCUGGACUGUACCUGACGCUGAGAUACGAAAGCGUGGGGAGCAAACAGG